RNAcentral lists this ribosomal RNA (227 nucleotides) under uncultured Actinomycetales bacterium. RNAcentral's name for it is "partial 16S ribosomal RNA". It matches the Rfam family "Bacterial small subunit ribosomal RNA", at positions 105 to 334 of the family's 1533-position model. Lineage: Bacteria; Bacillati; Actinomycetota; Actinomycetes; Actinomycetales. The record is from RNAcentral.
GGUGAGUAACACGUGGGUAAUCUGCCCUGCACUCUGGGAUAAGCCUGGGAAACUGGGUCUAAUACUGGAUAUGACCUUUCUCCUUAUGGGGUUUGGUGGAAAGUUUUUCGGUGUAGGAUGAGCCCGCGGCCUAUCAGCUUGUUGGUGGGGUGAUGGCCUACCAAGGCGACGACGGGUAGCCGGCCUGAGAGGGUGAUCGGCCACAUUGGGACUGAGAUACGGCCCAG